CUUUUCUAUCCCUGUUUAUCUUCCUCCUCCCCCGUCUCAACUCUCAAUCCAUCUACGACCCCUCAGAGCCUCCCCUAUAACAUUCUUGAUUCAUCAUCAUCACCAUAAGACUGGUCUAUCUUGAAGCUUUAUGAUGGGUGAACCAUCGUUACAAGAGUGAUUGAUGCUGCAGCCGUAUUGCACCGAGUUGAAUGAGCUGUCUAGUUUCAGUUUAUUUUGGAACUCUUCAUAUGAUUCUAGUUGAUAGCAUCCUUCUCAACUGCAUUGCGUUUAUUAAUUAUCACUAACAAGCGCUGCAAAUGAAGGCGGAGCUAGAUUGAUAUGGAGUCAGAAAGGACAGCAAAGUGCAGCUGCGAUUUCACUCUUGACCGUAAAAGUUGUAAAGAUAGUGCUAAACAGAGCUUACCUCCUUAUUUUGCAGUGGAAAUUAUCUAUUGAAAGAUCUAGAAAAAUGGGUGGCUGAUGAUGCAAUUAGCUCAAUUAUAAAAUUCUUGUGCAGUAAGAAACACCCCAAUUCACAAUCACAAGUCAUAAUCAUAAUGCAAAAGAAUAUACACAAGUUCUGGUCAGUGGAUGAAAGAAAAAUCGCAGCUGAAUGACAACCCAACUGAUGCAUAUUACAAUCCAUUACAAAUCAAAAAGCUUGUGAUUAUGCUGAAACAAAAUAGAAGAAAGAUCAACUUCAUCCUUUACAUGCUAAGUGGUGCUUCAUUUGAUUGCUCAGUGGGGUUGAUUUGUUAAAGACGAUGUUCAACCUUGCCUUACAACCCGUAUGCUUUAUUCCGCAAUUCCUUUCUUCCAUGGUUGAUGAAUGUUGCCGUUUUGAGUUCUCAUAAGUCUCAUAUGUUUUUCCUUCCUUGGAACAUAAAAAUUGUUUCCAAGUAAUCUCUCUCCAGUCACCUUAUUUCUCUUAGUUGAACCCAUUCUCACACUAAAACCAAUUGUCUUUGCAUAUAUCUCAUUGUAAAAGUAAUAUGCCUUCUCUAUUGAUUCGAAUUCUUGACCAAGCUGAAGUUUUGGUUCAUCUACAAUACCAUUCUCAUUCGGGUCUUGUAAAGAUGGUUCACCCAUCAUAAA
Rosa rugosa (rugosa rose) is the source of this 1077-nucleotide long non-coding RNA. RefSeq lists it as uncharacterized. NCBI's taxonomy places the organism in Eukaryota, Viridiplantae, Streptophyta, Magnoliopsida, Rosales, Rosaceae. The transcript is spliced from 3 exons. The record is from RefSeq and is a predicted model, not a curated record.